RNAcentral lists this small RNA (440 nucleotides) under Histoplasma capsulatum. RNAcentral's name for it is "hypothetical RNA". RNAcentral also lists the same sequence under 1 other name. Lineage: Eukaryota; Fungi; Ascomycota; Eurotiomycetes; Onygenales; Ajellomycetaceae. The record is from RNAcentral.
AAUCUAUCUAUUGCUGCUAAUCUAUCACUGCUAAUCUAUUGCUGCUAAUCUAUUGCUGUCAAUCUAUCUACUGCUGUCAAUCUAUCUACUGCUGUCAAUCUAUCUACUGCUGCCAAUCUAUCUACUGCUGUCAAUCUAUCUACCGCUGUCAAUCUAUCUACCACUGUCAAUCUAUCUAUUGCUGCUAAUCUAUUGCUGCUAAUCUAUUGCUGCUAAUCUAUUGCUGCUAAUCUAUCACUGCUAAUCUAUUGCUGCUAAUCUAUUGCUGCUAAUCUAUUGCUGCCAAUCUAUCUACUGCUGCCAACCUACCUACCACUGCUAAUCUAUCACUGCUGCCAAUCUAUAUAGAGUAAAUCAUGAUCCCAUUUGAUCCCAUUUUAUAAAAUGGGAUCAAAUGGAAUCAGAAUCACUAAUUUAUUAGUAAAAUAUGAUCUGGGACU